This 20-nucleotide small nuclear RNA is filed under the name Arabidopsis thaliana (thale cress). RNAcentral's name for it is "snRNA_03252". Lineage: Eukaryota; Viridiplantae; Streptophyta; Magnoliopsida; Brassicales; Brassicaceae. The record is from RNAcentral.
UCUUUCAUCUUGUAUUAAGU